This 253-nucleotide ribosomal RNA is filed under the name uncultured bacterium. Its description in RNAcentral is "partial 16S ribosomal RNA". It matches the Rfam family "Bacterial small subunit ribosomal RNA", at positions 524 to 776 of the family's 1533-position model. The record is from RNAcentral.
UACGAAGGGGGCUAGCGUUGUUCGGAAUCACUGGGCGUAAAGGGCGCGUAGGCGGCCGUUCAAGUCGGGGGUGAAAGCCUGUGGCUCAACCACAGAGUGGCCUUCGAUACUGGACGGCUCGAGACCGGAAGAGGUCAGUGGAACUGCGAGUGUAGAGGUGAAAUUCGUAGAUAUUCGCAAGAACACCAGUGGCGAAGGCGGCUGACUGGUCCGGUUCUGACGCUGAGGCGCGAAAGCGUGGGGAGCAAACAGG